UAACUUAAUAUUUAUUUUUUACAAUAUAUCAUCAUGCAUCUCUAAAAUCUAAACAUGUGAAUUCCGGUAUCUUAAGAUAUUUUUGUAUGUUUUCCAUAUUACUGUUUUUCUUUUCUGCAUUUCCCCUAUUCUCUAGUUUGUUUAUUUCUAAUAAGGAGCUGGAGGCCGUGAAGAAACAGAUCCAUGAUAUCGUGGAGAAGCAGGCCCAGAUGAGCAAGUGGAGAGCUAUGCUGGAAAUAUUCAUGGGUUGAUGCUCAUAAGUCCAGGUGUAAGACAUGAACCAGGCCCUGGGCGACGACCUCUCUCCAUCCGCCGCCUCCGGUCUUCAGGAUCUCCACCAGAACCCGAUUCGCUCCACUUCGUGAGACAGAACACAACGUUGUGAUCAUCAGAGACUCCAUCGUCUGGCACGUUCGUGCUAUGUUAGCUGAAGGUAAAGUCCACACUCACUGUUUCCCUGGUGCUUAUGUUCUUCAUAUUUCUACACAGAUUUCCAUCUGAAGGGUGAGGGGAGCAUCGGAGUGGACAUGCUUCACGCCGGCGUUAACGACACAAUGCUGCGGCAGACAGAGACGCUGAAGAGGGACUUCAGGAGCCUGAUCGAGAUGGUGCGCAGCACAUCACCUGCAUGAUGAUCAUCGUGUCAGGACCACUUCCCACGUAUAGAUGAGGACAUGAAAGGCUUUUUAGAUCUCCUGUUGGACAACAUCUCCAGGACACUUCGCUCCAUGUGACUAGGCAGUUUGUGAAGACAGAUAAUCAAGAGAAGUCAGUUCCAGAUCCACCUUCCACACCAGACCUCUCUCUCACGAGGAUUGCUGUCUACUAGCAUAUUGUGUUCUCUUCAGACUUCGGGGAAUGCAGAUAUUACUCGGGGACACGAACACAUGAAUAUUGCAAGAAUAGAGAAAGUAAGAUAUAUUAUAUAUAUAUUUAGAUAUAUUUUUGUGGCAGUGUGAACUGGCCAUAAUGCUGUAUGAUAGGUGUGAGAUUCAUUAAACUUGAUUUGGUAUAAUACAUCUGUUCAUAAGCUAUUGCAUAUUAUUUUCAAUGAAUUAUUUGUAGUGGUUUGGUUAAGGGUGUGAUUAGCUGAUGUAUUAUUGUGGGAGCUUGUGAUUAGUUGAUAAAUGUGUUUAUUGUUAAUGAUAAUAUUUAAAUGCAAUGUACUGAGUGCCUACUAAGACUUGCAUGUUUGUGCAUAAUGUUUUGACCCCGGAUGCUUACAGAAGGGUAUAGAUAUUUAAAUAUAUGGAAAUGUAUUUAUUAUUAAUAUAUCUCAAUCUAUGUGCUUCUGUUUGGGCUGAAUGCUUUCAUUCAUAUUUCGCUGUAUAUCCUGUUUUUAUUAAUAAUCUGGGUGUAUUACUGUUCAUAUUUGCUUGUUAAUAAAUUAACUGAAUUCA
Molecule: long non-coding RNA, 1400 nt
Organism: Carassius auratus (goldfish)
Lineage: Eukaryota; Metazoa; Chordata; Actinopteri; Cypriniformes; Cyprinidae
Exons: 4
Source: RefSeq, a predicted model, not a curated record